UACGGAGGGUGCAAGCGUUGUUCGGAUUCACUGGGUAUAAAGGGUUCGUAGGCGGCCCUGUAAGUCAGAGGUGAAAGCUGCCGGCUCAACUGGCAAACUGCCUUUGAAACUGUGGGGCUUGAGUCCGGGAGAGGAAGGCGGAAUUCCAGGUGUAGCGGUGAAAUGCGUAAAUAUCUGGAGGAACACCGGUGGCGAAGGCGGCCUUCUGGUCCGGUACUGACGCUGAGGAACGAAAGCCAGGGGAGCAAAC
RNAcentral lists this ribosomal RNA (250 nucleotides) under uncultured bacterium. RNAcentral's name for it is "partial 16S ribosomal RNA". It matches the Rfam family "Bacterial small subunit ribosomal RNA", at positions 524 to 773 of the family's 1533-position model. The record is from RNAcentral.